This 433-nucleotide long non-coding RNA is filed under the name Brassica napus (rape). RNAcentral describes it as "long non-coding RNA (BNAP_LNC002725)". The record is from RNAcentral. Lineage: Eukaryota; Viridiplantae; Streptophyta; Magnoliopsida; Brassicales; Brassicaceae.
GUCGCGGAUGAUGGAGAAUUAAGUGAAGUUGGGUUACUUUAGAUAGCAAUAUUAGAGAUCAGUAAGUAAAAAAUGUUAUUUAGUCAUUUUUUACAUUUAAAAAAAAAACUAAUAUAUAAUUGACACAUGUAAAUGCUGUCUCUCAAAAUAGAGUUUCCCACUAGAUAAUUUCUAAACUUUUUUUCGGUUUUUCAUUAUUUUAUUCAAUUUAAAAGGUGAGGAAUUCUUGAGAAAUUUUCUAGGACCCUUUAAAGUUUUUUUAAUCACAAAUAUAACUUCCAAUGGUCAAAAUGAAUAUAAUGUUUCAUUAAAAGGUAAAUAGACAUUUAUAUUCCUAGUAUUAUCUAAACUAGAAUUAUGGUUUAGAUUUGAGAGAUAAAAUAUAUGAUUUUUUUUUUAAAAAUACUUAAAUUAGUUUCGAAACAAAUUUUUG